RNAcentral lists this ribosomal RNA (253 nucleotides) under uncultured bacterium. RNAcentral describes it as "partial 16S ribosomal RNA". It matches the Rfam family "Bacterial small subunit ribosomal RNA", at positions 524 to 776 of the family's 1533-position model. The record is from RNAcentral.
UACAGUGGUCUCAAGCGUUGUUCGGAUUCAUUGGGCGUAAAGGGUGCGUAGGUGGCGCCGUAAGUCAGGUGUGAAAUCUCGGGGCUUAACUCCGAAACUGCAUUUGAUACUGCGGUGCUUGAGGACUGGAGAGGAGACUGGAAUUUACGGUGUAGCAGUGAAAUGCGUAGAGAUCGUAAGGAAGACCAGUGGCGAAGGCGGGUCUCUGGACAGUUCCUGACACUGAGGCACGAAGGCCAGGGGAGCAAACGGG